RNAcentral lists this long non-coding RNA (995 nucleotides) under Linum usitatissimum (flax). RNAcentral's name for it is "long non-coding RNA (LUSI_LNC002165)". The record is from RNAcentral. Lineage: Eukaryota; Viridiplantae; Streptophyta; Magnoliopsida; Malpighiales; Linaceae.
AACACACAGCCAGAAACAGGGGCUCAUAUCAAGUGUUAGAUUUUAAGAUCCUCUCACCGCGGGAAACGGAAAUAGCCACAGAUCAACUGAAAAGAAAGGAAAUCUGAACGGAAAUAACUUGAGGAAGGAAAGAACCAACAGCCAGACACCAGAAGCCUCAAGUCCUUUGAGAGAGGUGUGGCGGCGUCUCGUGCUGUUGGCCAUUCUUUCUAUUCAUCUCCGAUUUCCAACCUUCUAACUGAAAACGCGAUCUUUCCAUUAUUUCGGAUGGUUAGAUCCGCCCACUCAAGCCUCUCUUUUUAAUCAAUGCCCCAGAAAAUAAGGCAGGAUGACAUAUAUAUAUAAAGGCGGAAAGAAGAAGUUGAAGGCGCCGCGCAACUAUGGUGGAAAACCUAGGGAGGCGGCUAGAGCUGUGGGCGUCGGCUGCAGAAAAAUGCAGUUUGAAGUGUGGGAGUUAGGGCCUUAUAUUGAAGAAGUAGGGUUUAGGUUUGCUGUUCUUGAUGGAUCUUAAGCAGUCCUGAAGCCCAUCUAACCGACCAAGCCCGUGCAUGAAACUCCCCCUUAUCUCAAUUAGCUGGGUUGUUAAUUGUUAUCUGGAAAAUUUUCAAAACCAUCUCUGAUGCCAUUUUGCUUGAUUAUUAUGAUUCUAUUAUCACAUCAAUGAGUACAAAUGAAGCUUUGAAUGACAUUGAACUAUACGAUUGAAUGUAAAAUUGUGUAUUUUACAAAUCGUGUUAUGGACAUUCAUAACAUAUACAUUAUGGAACAGCACAAACAGGUCAUUACUGAAAACUGUGAAAAGACUGAAACUUGAUAGUCAAAUAAAUACUAAAACAUGAAAGCACCUCUGCCUAUGUUACAAUCUCUCCACUUUCUUAAGCACAGAAGCAAACUCUCUUUUCCAAAUGCAGUUUGCAGUCAGAUCUAUGAGAAACAGUAAUAAUUCAUCAAUGAAUUGGUCCCUCCCAUCAAAGUGAUCCCUUCACUUGCUCCAG